CCUACGGGAGGCAGCAGUGAGGAAUAUUGGUCAAUGGGCGAGAGCCUGAACCAGCCAAGUCGCGUGAAGGAUGACGGCCCUACGGGUUGUAAACUUCUUUUGUCAGGGAGCAAUUGAGUCCACGUGUGGUCUUAGCGAGAGUACCUGCAGAAAAAGCAUCGGCUAACUCGGUGCCAGCAGCCUCGGUAAUACGGAGGAUUCGAGCGUUAUCCGGAUUUAUUGGGGUUGAAGGGUGCGUAGGCGGAAUAUCAAGUCGGCGGUAAAAAUUCGGGGCUCAACCCCAUCCAGCCGUUGAAACUGGGGAUCUAGAGUGUGCGAGAGGGAUGCGGAAUGCGUGGUGUAGCGGUGAAAUGCAUAGAUAUCACGCAGAACCCCGAUUGCGAAGGCAGCAUACCGGUGCACAACUGACGCUCAGGCACGAAAGCGUGGGUAUCGAACAGGAUUAGAUACCCGAGUAGUC
RNAcentral lists this ribosomal RNA (460 nucleotides) under uncultured bacterium. RNAcentral describes it as "partial 16S ribosomal RNA". It matches the Rfam family "Bacterial small subunit ribosomal RNA", at positions 338 to 795 of the family's 1533-position model. The record is from RNAcentral.